This is a long non-coding RNA of Felis catus (domestic cat), 457 nucleotides long. RefSeq lists it as uncharacterized. Lineage: Eukaryota; Metazoa; Chordata; Mammalia; Carnivora; Felidae. The transcript has 3 exons. The record is from RefSeq and is a predicted model, not a curated record.
AAUGGUGCUGGGUUAUGUGUCUUUCAGCUGACGACAGCAGUGACCAGUGCCUUUUUACUUGCAAAAGUGAUCCUCUCAAAGCUUUUCUCUCAAGGGGCUUUCGGCUACGUGCUCCCCAUCAUUUCGUUCCUCCUUGCCUGGAUUGAGACGUGGUUCCUGGAUUUCAAAGUGUUACCUCAAGAGGCGGAAGAGGAAAACAGACUCCUGAUAGUUCAGGAUGCUUCGGAGAGGGCGGCACUCAUACCUGGAGGUCUUUCUGAUGGCCAGUUUUAUUCUCCUCCUGAAUCUGAAGCAGGUAACAAAAAUGUGAUUAUCGUCUGUGUUUUCAUCCAUCAUUCAAAAGCUCAGCCCUCCCUCCCUCUCCUGUCAGAACGCUGCUGAGCAGACAUCUCACAGUGCAGGCACGUAGGAGACGGAAAUAACCGAGAUGUGGUCUUGAUGUGGGAGCAGUGGGGAG